UGCCAAACCUGAGGACCUAAGUUCG
RNAcentral lists this non-coding RNA (25 nucleotides) under Rattus norvegicus (Norway rat). Lineage: Eukaryota; Metazoa; Chordata; Mammalia; Rodentia; Muridae. The record is from RNAcentral.